UACGUAGGGGGCGAGCGUUGUCCGGAUUUAUGGGGCGUAAAGAGCUCGUAGGCGGUUUGGUAAGUUGGAUGUGAAAUCUCCAGGCUCAACUUGGAGGGGUCAUUCGAUACUGCCAUGACUAGAGUUCGGUAGGGGAGUGUGGAAUUCCUGGUGGAGCGGUGAAAUGCGCAGAUAUCGGGAGGAACACCAAUUGCGAAGGCAGCUCGCUGGGACGUCACUGACGCUGAGACGCGAAAGCGUGGGGAGCAAACAGG
RNAcentral lists this ribosomal RNA (254 nucleotides) under uncultured bacterium. RNAcentral describes it as "partial 16S ribosomal RNA". It matches the Rfam family "Bacterial small subunit ribosomal RNA", at positions 524 to 776 of the family's 1533-position model. The record is from RNAcentral.